UUGAAAAUAGAAUAAAUGUAAAUAAUGAGAAUUAAAAUCAGUAAACCUAUCACCAUUCACUUCCUUUCUUCUUUCACGCUCAAUCAUCCUUCUCUCUCUCACUUUCGAUCUCUUACCAUCUCGCCACUCUCGAUCGCUCUAUCUCACACCUCUCUCGCUCAUGUCAUCUCUCAAUCUCAACCUCAUUCACAAACUUUCACUCUACAUGCCAAAAAAACAAAAUGCUUUAAAGAGAUUCAAGCAGUAAAACUCACCUUCGGCGGUGGUCCGACGGUAAUGACGAUGCUUGGAUCUUCCUCCCGUCGCCGCUCAACUCUUCUAGCUCUAGGGUUUUCGCUCUCUGAAAACUUUAGGGUUUUUUUUUUGGCUGAUUGAAGUUAGGUUUUUCGUCGCCGCUCCUAAAAAACUCUCCUUUUUUUCUACAGCAUCCGCCUCUUUUUAUACCCAAUCAGUUAGGGUUUUCGAGCUAGCUAUGGAGAUUAAAAAGGGAAACCUCUUGGAAGUGCUUUUAGGUGCUCAGCUUUGCCUGUCUCGCUUGAUACUUAAAUCUGGAAACGUAAAAAUUGGUGAAAAGAAACACUUCGGUUAUUUGCAAAGCUCAACUAUUGCUACUACCAUGAACUUCUAGGUGUGAAGAAGUGCUAGCUAUCAAGGAUGAAAAUCAGUUCCGUUAUAAGCUAAUGUUAAUGUUAAGUCUCAUUACAUUGUCUUACUUAACUGUUAGUGCAGAAUUUCUUAUUAAUUGGAAAUUUUGUUCAACUAUGAGGAAUUAUUCUUACUGUUAUGCUUAUUAAUCUCUGCAGGUUAGUAGGUGUUGCCGGUUGAAUGUGUUGUUGCUAAUGUGUUUGGUGUUGGCUAUUGUGCCUGAAAUUGGGCUUGAAAUUGUUCAGGUUUUGGAUACUGAUUGGGUAAUAGGAUUGUGUAUAGAUGGAAUUAGAAAUGAUUGUAAUUUUGAACAUAUUUGUUUCAGGAAUGAAUAGGAAGUUUGCAGGUUAUUGGUUAGUUUGGGAAUUUCGGCUUGGAUGCGGCUACGAAGCGCAUUGGAUGGCGGGGCUGUUUUGGAAUUCUGCAAAGCUUCUUCAUGUUCCACGACUUCAAUAGAUGAAUUGAUCGAGCGACAAGCAGCAGCAGCGGAUUUAACUUUUAGCUGACCAAUAUAUGCUUCCGUGUGUAUAAUUUGUCUAUGCAUAUUAUUCAACUCAAACUUGUCAUGAUCAAGAACAUUGUAUCUAUGAAUCAUGUGAGGUUCUAAUCCAUUUGUAGCGUACCGUAAAGUUUUAAAAUGUCGGAGAUUAGCUUUAGUGCCUCAAAUUUGUAGUUUCCGUUUGUUUAUGGUUGUUUGUAAUUAGGUGCCUAGUAUAAUCCUUAAAUUUUUGUAACUGUAUAGCUUUAUAAUAGCUUUAUAAUAUGAAGCAUGAUUAAUCUA
Molecule: long non-coding RNA, 1426 nt
Organism: Lathyrus oleraceus (garden pea)
Lineage: Eukaryota; Viridiplantae; Streptophyta; Magnoliopsida; Fabales; Fabaceae
Exons: 2
Source: RefSeq, a predicted model, not a curated record